CCUACGGGCGACAGCAGUGAGGAAUAUUGGUCAAUGGACGAGAGUCUGAACCAGCCAAGUAGCGUGAAGGAUGACUGCCCUAUGGGUUGUAAACUUCUUUUAUAUGGGAAUAAAAUGUUCCACGUGUGGGAUUUUGUAUGUACCAUAUGAAUAAGGAUCGGCUAACUCCGUGCCAGCAGCCGCGGUAAUACGGAGGAUCCGAGCGUUAUCCGGAUUUAUUGGGUUUAAAGGGAGCGUAGGUGGAUUGUUAAGUCAGUUGUGAAAGUUUGCGGCUCAACCGUAAAAUUGCAGUUGAAACUGGCAGUCUUGAGUACAGUAGAGGUGUGCGGAAUUCGUGGUGUAGCGGUGAAAUGCUUAGAUAUCACGAAGAACUCCGAUUGCGAAGGCAGUUCACUGGACUGCAACUGACACUGAGGCUCGAAAGUGUGGGUAUCAAACAGGAUUAGAUACCCGAGUAGUC
This 460-nucleotide ribosomal RNA is filed under the name uncultured bacterium. RNAcentral describes it as "partial 16S ribosomal RNA". It matches the Rfam family "Bacterial small subunit ribosomal RNA", at positions 338 to 795 of the family's 1533-position model. The record is from RNAcentral.